GAUGAACGCUGACCGAAUGCUUAACACAUGCAAGUCAACUUGAAUUUGGGUUUUUAACUUAGGUUUGGGUGGCGGACGGGUGAGUAACGCGUAAAGAACUUGCCUCACAGCUAGGGACAACAUUUGGAAACGAAUGCUAAUACCUAAUAUUAUGAUAAUAGGGCAUCCUAUAAUUAUGAAAGCUAUAGGCGCUGUGAGAGAGCUUUGCGUCCCAUUAGCUAGUUGGAGAGGUAACGGCUCACCAAGGCGAUGAUGGGUAGCCGGCCUGAGAGGGUGAUCGGCCACAAGGGGACUGAGACACGGCCCUUACUCCUACGGGAGGCAGCAGUGGGGAAUAUUGGACAAUGGACCAAGAGUCUGAUCCAGCAAUUCUGUGUGCACGAUGAAGUUUUUCGGAAUGUAAAGUGCUUUCAGUUGGGAAGAAAGAAAUGACGGUACCAACAGAAGAAGUGACGGCUAAAUACGUG
RNAcentral lists this ribosomal RNA (467 nucleotides) under uncultured bacterium. RNAcentral's name for it is "partial 16S ribosomal RNA". It matches the Rfam family "Bacterial small subunit ribosomal RNA", at positions 28 to 507 of the family's 1533-position model. The record is from RNAcentral.